Molecule: long non-coding RNA, 442 nt
Organism: Protopterus annectens (West African lungfish)
Lineage: Eukaryota; Metazoa; Chordata; Ceratodontiformes; Protopteridae
Exons: 2
Source: RefSeq, a predicted model, not a curated record
GGUAUAUCUCUACCAAGAACGGGUCAUUAGGAAAUGACUGUGGUUUCCUGAUACUUGGCAGCUCAACGACAUGCCUCUUUCUGUGAAUUAAUGAGCUUCAUCUGUGAUAUUUACAAUGCAGCAAGGAGUGCAUAUGUGAUGAUACUGCAUAUGUUAAUACAGUGUCGUCGUUGAAAGGUACAGCUCUUUAAGAUAAGGAAAUACACCAAGGACUUUGGUUUACUAUGAUGUGUUUUAAUACGUGAUAUUAUUAUGAGUAUAUUCAAAUAGAACCCUGGAUGGUGCCAGAGAUACAGACUUACAAGGUGAACUCUUAAUGGAAUAUAAACUACAUGACACACUGGGGUAUUAAGAUUCAUAUUGUUGUCUGUGCACAGUGCAUGAGUAUUGCACGUUGUAUUGUACAAUUAUUCAGAUUAAUGAAAUAAAGAAAAUCCUUGGU